UGAGGCCACUGCGAGUUUGUGAUC
This 24-nucleotide non-coding RNA is filed under the name Arabidopsis thaliana (thale cress). Lineage: Eukaryota; Viridiplantae; Streptophyta; Magnoliopsida; Brassicales; Brassicaceae. The record is from RNAcentral.